Molecule: non-coding RNA, 231 nt
Organism: Pelobates cultripes (western spadefoot toad)
Lineage: Eukaryota; Metazoa; Chordata; Amphibia; Anura; Pelobatidae
Source: the annotation of a GenBank genome assembly
GAUAGGUUCAUACUGGCUGGUUAAGAAUAACAGGUCACUAGUUAAAUUUAUUUAUAGGCCUUCUAUGCCUUAGCGUAGCGUAGUAUCAACGUUCUUUCUCUGCAAGGGCGUCUGCAUCGCUGGCACAGUUCAACUACCAGGCAGACUGGAGCAUGCUGGAUACGGAACUGUUUUGCAGACACUUUGCGGGCCUCAAGACUUCAGCUUGUUAUAUCUGCUCAUCUGCUUCCC